This 253-nucleotide ribosomal RNA is filed under the name uncultured bacterium. RNAcentral's name for it is "partial 16S ribosomal RNA". It matches the Rfam family "Bacterial small subunit ribosomal RNA", at positions 524 to 776 of the family's 1533-position model. The record is from RNAcentral.
GACGGAGGGGGCAAGCGUUUUCCGGACUCACUGGGCGUAAAGGGCGCGCAGGCGGUAGCGUGCGUCGGUGCUGAAAGCGCCCCGCUUAACGGGGCGAGGCGUGCCGAUACGACGCAACUGGAGGCAGGCAGAGGGUGGCGGAAUUCCGGGUGUAGUGGUGAAAUGCGUAGAGAUCCGGAGGAACGCCGGUGGCGCAAGCGGCCACCUGGGCCUGACCUGACGCUGAGGCGCGAAAGCGUGGGGAGCGAACCGG